UCUUAUUCAGAGAGGCGGAGGGAAUUGGCCCUAUGAAGCCUCGGCAGCGGGUUCUGUGCGAAACAGAAUACUGUGCCAACUCCAACAAGCCGAUAUUAGGCUUGGAAGAUAAGA
This 114-nucleotide non-coding RNA is filed under the name Bacillus sonorensis. Its description in RNAcentral is "SAM riboswitch (S box leader)". It matches the Rfam family "SAM riboswitch aptamer (S box leader)". Rfam says of the family: The SAM riboswitch is found upstream of a number of genes which code for proteins involved in methionine or cysteine biosynthesis in Gram-positive bacteria. The SAM riboswitch acts at the level of transcription termination control. Lineage: Bacteria; Bacillati; Bacillota; Bacilli; Caryophanales; Bacillaceae. The record is from RNAcentral.